RNAcentral lists this small RNA (179 nucleotides) under Deltaproteobacteria bacterium. Its description in RNAcentral is "6S RNA". The stretch from base 11 to 171 matches the Rfam family "6S / SsrS RNA". From Rfam's summary of the family: E. coli 6S RNA was the first non coding RNA to be sequenced, but its function was unknown until recently. It consists of 184 nucleotides that fold into an extended hairpin structure with a large single-stranded internal bulge. The 6S RNA specifically associates with RNA polymerase holoenzyme containing the sigma70 specificity factor. Lineage: Bacteria; Pseudomonadati; Myxococcota; Myxococcia. The record is from RNAcentral.
GCCGGACAGGUGCUGGAUGCGUAUAGAAUCCCGCUUUAUCUACACGAAUCCGGGGGUCAACCUCGUGGUGGUGUGCAGGCCCGGAUCUUUCACCGGGGAGCCUUAAACCGCGAUACCCGACUCCCACCUUGGCGUGUCCAAGGGGUUCACUACGGUCCCACGGUCCAAGUGGUACGGAC